Molecule: small nuclear RNA, 18 nt
Filed under: Arabidopsis thaliana (thale cress)
Lineage: Eukaryota; Viridiplantae; Streptophyta; Magnoliopsida; Brassicales; Brassicaceae
Description: snRNA_19008
Source: RNAcentral
CAUGUAUAAAUAUCUGGA